UCGCGUCAAGCGCCGUAGGCAGGAGCGGGGGACCCAAGGUAAGCGCCGGGUCCGGGAGUUGAGGCCCUUCGGGGUGGCUCGCGACCGGAACCGGCUUGGGGUGAAGCCGUGCCGCGCACGCAACGUGCGGGACACGACCGGGCAACUCAACCGGCCCGAACCCGACAGCUCACCUCGUAGGCGUCGGUGAGGGGAUCU
RNAcentral lists this small RNA (198 nucleotides) under Streptomyces sp. Its description in RNAcentral is "c-di-AMP sequence". It matches the Rfam family "c-di-AMP riboswitch aptamer (ydaO/yuaA leader)". Rfam says of the family: This family represents a conserved RNA structure found upstream of the ydaO and yuaA genes in Bacillus subtilis and related genes in other bacteria. The ydaO/yuaA element is thought to act as a genetic "off" switch for the ydaO and yuaA genes in its native state. The record is from RNAcentral. Lineage: Bacteria; Bacillati; Actinomycetota; Actinomycetes; Kitasatosporales; Streptomycetaceae. RNAcentral also lists the same sequence under 1 other name.